Unclassified non-coding RNA from Papio anubis (olive baboon), 292 nucleotides. It matches the Rfam family "Metazoan signal recognition particle RNA". From Rfam's summary of the family: The signal recognition particle (SRP) is a universally conserved ribonucleoprotein. NCBI's taxonomy places the organism in Eukaryota, Metazoa, Chordata, Mammalia, Primates, Cercopithecidae. The record is from Ensembl.
GCCAGGAGUGGCAGUGCAUGCCUGUAGUCCCAGCUACUUGGGAGGCUGAGGCAGGAGGAUCCCUUGAGUCCAGAAGUUCUGGGCUGUAGUGCGGUAUGCCGAUUGGGUGUCUGCACUAAAUCUGGCAUCAAUACGGUGACCUCCUGGGAGUGGGGGGAUUACCUAAGGAGCAGUGAACUGGAACCAGGUCAGAAACAGAUCAGGUCAAAACUUCUGCUCUGAUCAGUGGUGAUCAUGCCUAUGAAUAGCCACUGUACUUCAGCCUGGGCAACACAGUGAGACCCUGCCUCUG